AGUGGAUGGGGAGCAACCUAUGUUGUGCGUGUGUAAAGGUAGUGCCAAGAAAAGCGAUGAUCAUGUUGAAAAUCAAUUCCCGGUACCCGAAACCGACACAGGUGGGCAAGUAGAGAAUACUAAGGGGCGCGAGGUAACUCUCUCCAAGGAACUCGGCAAAAUGACCCCGUAACUUAGGGAGAAGGGGUGCCACCGAGAGGUGGUCGCAGUGAAGAGGCCCAGGCGACUGUUUAGCAAAAACAUAGGUCUCUGCAAACUCGAAAGAGGAGGUAUAGGGGCUGACGCCUGCCCAGUGCCGGAAGGUUAAAGAAGUUGGUCAGUUUUAGGAUGAAGCUAGCGACUGAAGCCCCGGUGAACGGCGGCCGUAACUAUAACGGUCCUAAGGUAGCGAAAUUCCUUGUCGGGUAAGUUCCGACCCGCACGAAAGGCGUAACGAUCUGGGCGCUGUCUCGGAGAGAGGCUCGGCGAAAUAGGAUUGUCUGUGAAGAUACAGACUACCUGCAUUUGGACAGAAAGACCCUAUGAAGCUUUACUAUAGCUUGGAAUUGUGUUCGGGCUUCCUGUGCGCAGGAUAGGUGGGAGGCGUAGAAGGUAUUCUUGUGGGGAUACUGGAGCCAACGGUGAGAUACCACUCUCAGGAGGCUAGAAUUCUAACUUAAUUAAGGACAGUUUCAGGUGGGUAGUUUGACUGGGGCGGUCGCCUCCAAAAAGGUAACGGAGGCGUACAAAGGUUCCCUCAGACUGGUUGGAAAUCAGUCGAAGAGUGCAAAGGCAGAAGGGAGCUUGACUGCGAGAAGUACAGUUCGAGCAGGGUGGAAACACGGUCUUAGUGAUCCGACGGUGCUGUGUGGAAGGGCCGUCGCUCAACGGAUAAAAGUUACUCUAGGAUAACAGGCUGAUCUCCCCCAAGAGUUCACAUCGACGGGGAGGUUUGGCACCUCGAUGUCGGCUCAUCGCAACCUGGGGCGGAAGUACGUCCCAAGGGUUGGGCUGUUCGCCCAUUAAAGCGGUACGUGAGCUGGGUUCAGAACGUCGUGAGACAGUUCGGUCCAUAUCCGAUGUAGGCGUGAGAAUAUUGAGAGGAGCCUUCCUUAGUACGAGAGGACCGGGAAGGACGCACCGCUGGUGUACCUGUUAUGAUGCCAAUUGUAAACGCAGGGUAGCCAAGUGCGGAGAGGAUAACCGCUGAAAGCAUCUAAGUGGGAAGCCCACCUCAAGAUGAGUAUUCUGGUGUAAGGUCACGGGAAGACGACCCGUAAAUAGGCACGAGGUGGAAGUGCAGAGAUGUAUGAAGCCGAAGUGUACUAAUAGACCGUCGGCUUGAUA
This 1326-nucleotide ribosomal RNA is filed under the name metagenome. RNAcentral's name for it is "bacterial LSU rRNA". It matches the Rfam family "Bacterial large subunit ribosomal RNA", at positions 1561 to 2925 of the family's 2925-position model. The record is from RNAcentral.